This is a long non-coding RNA of Bactrocera neohumeralis, 1759 nucleotides long. RefSeq lists it as uncharacterized. The transcript is spliced from 3 exons. The record is from RefSeq and is a predicted model, not a curated record. Lineage: Eukaryota; Metazoa; Arthropoda; Insecta; Diptera; Tephritidae.
UGCUUAGCGUAAUUUGCUUAGAGCCGUUGUGCUGAUUCGACAUUUCAUUAUUACUGUCAACGACCCGGCAUAACUUAAGUAAUCAAUUUAAUAUUCCUUCGUCCAGUUCGUAAAAAUGGUCGCUGUGGAUUUCGUGGGAAAAGUGUGAGGUUCCGUGCAGUGAGGAAACGACAAUGGUCGGAGAGGCAAAAAGGAGUUUUGCUCGAAAAAAAACCUGACACACCCUGCUGUUGGCACACUCCGGUGUUGGAUCGGCCAGGUUAUAUUUUUGAAGCGCGGCCAACGCAAAAAAGAGUUUUACUCGAAGAAAAAACUGACACACCCCGGUGUUGGAUCGCCCAGGGUAAUUUUUUCCUGCAUUUGAGUUUUUUUUAAUUUAUUUUUAUUGUUUUCAAUCGUUUGGGAUAUGGUAACACUUAUUAUUUGACAACACAGAACACUUAUUGUUAUUGUACGUGUAAUAAUAUUUAUGUAAAAUAUAAAAUGCUUAUUUUAAGCAAAUAUCUAAAUAAUAAAUAUAAAAUAAAUAUGUAGAAAUAUUGCAGUGAAGUUAAUAACAACGUCGCAGUUGAUUUUUAUUUAUUUAUUUUUUGAUAGAAAAAAACAUGAAAAACCUCACAACGAAACAAAUACGGCAAAGAUUAUGUUCGAAAUUAUGGCACCACUGUUGUAAAUUCGAAUGGGCACUAUUGAUUCAUGCAGUGAUCGUUUUCGAAUUAUCGAUGUUCUCAGUAUUCGAGUCUGAAAGAGAAUUGAAAGAAGUUGGACACAGAAGAAGCUCGAAAACGCUCCAAAAAAAAAUAAACCUGUUCGGUCCAACACUGUGGUGUUCAUAAUUCUGGAGCAGUGGGCAACUAUUCUAGUCAGAGGGAGAUUGCGCAACUUGAGAAGAUAGCUAUUCUCCUGGAAACUUAAUAAAAGUAAGCAGUGCGCAGGAUUUUGUUAUUUUGUACAGUCGUCGAACAACGCAUCCGUUUUUCUUGCUGUAUAAAUUGUGGGCUAAAAUUCCUCAAGAAAUUCUUCGAGGAGGCAUUGCAAUCGAAUUGAAUUUCAACAUGCGGGUUAGACGGUUGCCCAAAGUAUACUCACACAUGUGGAAAGCUUACAAAACUUCAAGUGUUCCACCAAUUUCAUCCACAGGACCAAAGGGAUCAUCCUGGGUCAUUUGCUAAGACUGUCAACAAGAAAUUUUACGAUUACGUACGUAGGGAUAGGUGCUGCUGACUUUUGGCAAAUAUCGGUGCAUUUGCCCUAGUUAGCGUUUUUAAGAUUAACGAGGUUCCCAGGAAUAAAGUCUAUGAGUUUCUCAAUAGAAGUAUAUAGCCAUAUGCACAUGAUCUCUUUCGAGAGUUAGCAUAUGGUAAAUCGCCAAGUUACCACUAGUGAUGGUGAUAUCUAGUGAUCUUUUAUAAUUUCUCAUAAUUCUAGGGGGUUUUUCAUAAGCGAUUGUGCACAAUAUCUAAUUGUGCUGCCUCCUCCAUUCCCCAUGCCUUGCAGACUCCUAGAAACAAUCAUUUUCUCAUUAUUGGUUAUGAGGAUACAUUAAGCAAUUGUGACCCUGGAAUGUGAGGAGGUUGUUUCACCGAUGAAUCGCGAGCGAGAUAAAGAUGGAGGUAUCUACCACAGGGAUACGAAUCUUUCAGGCGAUGUCAAGCUCAAAACAUUUAUUACAUAUUUACUGCAAAAUUAUUCUAUUCAUGUCACUAAAACUUUUUCGCUAUAAAGUAAUAAAUUAAGUAUAUUUCACGAAUUAACAAAG